CGAAACCGGGACCUAAGUCACCAAGAGCUUAAUCCUUUUCCAUGGGCCCCCGUCGCUCACCAGCACACCUGAAGCCUAGCAGUUUAGCUAGUGGGAUUUAAGCUAAGCCGUCGCCCAUACAACGGUCGAGUGGUUGCAUGAUGGUUGAGUUAGGCAAAAUGACACAUCAACUCGGUCCUUAGCCAUGACAAGAUGGAUAUCUCCCAACUUUGCUCAACCACUAAGGUACGAGCUCAAUAAUCCGGCAUUUCACACAAGAAACGCCCAUCCAUCUCAUCCACACACCACUUCUUCUUACACCUGAAAACCCAACUCCUCAGUUAAACACACUCACACAUUUAUUUUUCGAAUAAACAAGUGUAGUCAUGAUUGAUUUUGAGUAAUGAGUUCCUAAGCAUUCUAGCAGUGUUUAUCAUCCAAACAGAGCAACUCAUAUUUAGAGAUAAAUAUAGGACAAUAAGGAAUAAUCAUAACAAUCAAGGGGUGGCUAUCCAACCAUGUCUUGCAAUAAAAAUAAUAUGCAUGUUAUAAAACAGGCCAAUAGGUUGUGUUUGAAAAGCUGGGUAUUAAAUAUGCAUCAAAGGAUCAGGUUGGACUUGACGUUCUCAAAGCCUUCCGGGAGCUCCUGCUCGCGGUACUGGUCCUCGGGCUCGGGCUCGCGGUCGAACUCCUCCUCGUGCUCCCCGUCGGGUACUCCGCGAUCUACGGCACACACAAGCGAGCACACAAUAAAUAAAAAGGAAAAAGAUUUUACCCGUUGAGCUCCGAACAGGAAAUGUAAACGGAAAAUAGGUAGGAAGGGUAUUUUCAUGAAAUUUGGAUAUGCCUCGGCGGAAAUAUAUGAGAGGAGGCCGUGGUCAAAUUUAGGAUCAAUUGGAGGAAGGUUGGCGCAUGAAAUGACGAGCUAAAGGAGUGUUAGGGGCUUAAAACAAGGUUUUAGGACUAAACUGCGAGAACCAGGGACCUAUUUGUAAUUUUUUUCUGGAAGGUGGAAGGGUGUAUUCGUGAAACUUCUUUAAGAGAGGUGGGAGGGUUGGUUUGUAAUUAGAGGAAAGGAGGGGGUUAGAUCAAAAUUGAAGGGGAUUCUCCCCUUCUUCUUCCUGGAGCACGGGUACAGGGAGGUAGGAGGCAACUCGACGGUGGUCCGGCCAAUCAAGCUUGCCGGCGGCGAGACCAAGCGGCGGGGGAGGUAGAGGAGGCCGAGGGGACUCCAUUUUGACCCUCACCUUGGGGAUUCGGCGAUGGAAAGCGAGGGGGCCGGCGUGGGAAAAAAAAGGCGGUGGGCGGAGCUCUGGUGGCGGCGCACGGGGUCGGUGGAGAGGGG
Molecule: long non-coding RNA, 1324 nt
Filed under: Setaria italica (foxtail millet)
Lineage: Eukaryota; Viridiplantae; Streptophyta; Magnoliopsida; Poales; Poaceae
Description: long non-coding RNA (SITA_LNC006653)
Source: RNAcentral